GCAGAUUGGCAAUAGCAGAGCUGGGAGGUUCGAAAUUUUUUGAAGGACCAGAUGGAGCAAAGGUUUUCAGACAUGAUCUUCAACUUGUGGAAAAGGGGCAAUACAUGAUUGUGGGAAGGCUGUUGGCUAUGUCACUCGCUCAGGACGGACCAGGUUUUCACUGCUUGAAUAAGCAGCUUUUUGCAAUGAUGACGGGUCGUGAAGGGGAGACAACUGCUCCUGAUGAAAUCACGGACCCCGAUAUUAAGGAAUGUCUUGAAAUGUUGGAGAAAAUCACCGACGUUCAGAAAAGGGAUCAGUUCUUGGCAAAGUUCGGGGACUGGCUGGCUGACAGAGGGAUCAACCCUUAUAGAAUGGCCGUGGCGGACAAGGAGUCCAUGAAGGAGAUGGUUAUAAAGUACCACGUCUUUUAUAGAACAUCAUCCGAGAUUGCCCAAUUUAAGAAUGGCAUGGAUGACGUAUGCAGCAUGUGGGGGAUGGUAACAAAACAUGUAAGUGUAUUCCAACCGCUGUUUUGCAAUCUUCCUAAACCUCUAAUGAAACAGGAGAUGGACAGAAUCAUUCGGUAUGAUUUCAGUGAACUCGGAUCUAAUGCCAGGACGUCUGAAGAUGAAACUGUCUACGCAUGGGAGCUCUUUUUGCAGGACAUUGAAGAUGGAAUUGUUCCCACAACCAUGGCAGAAUUGCUGUCGUUCAUUUCCGGAGCGGCCAGCAUUCCCCCCUGUGGCUUUCAAAAGCCGAUUGAGAUACAUUUCUAUAUGCAAGAAGACGGAGUGACCCGUCUUCCAUAUGCAUCGACAUGUUCUCUGGACUUGUGGCUGCCUAGAGGACAGACACCCGAGAACUUAUCUACCCUUCUAUUGAAGAGUGUUAAUGAGUCGAUGGGAUUUUUUUUUAAUAUGAAAAUUGCUAUAAAAAAAGGUUAAAGUACAAAAAACAUACUCGGAUUCUUUUUAUGCCCCCAGAACCUAUGGUCUGGAGGCAUAUUAAAAUCGCACCGUUCGUAAGUCCGUCCGGAGUAGUUUCCACUCAAUAAAUCAAGUAGUUUUCAUCUGAUCUUCACCAAUAGGUCAGAAGUUGUAUCUAGAUGAUGUCUAGGCCUAGUUCGAAGAAGGGUCAUGCCGGAUCAAAAACUAGGUCACAGGGUCACGUAGUGCGUUUUAAACAUUCAGCAAGGUUUCCGCUUAAUAAGUCAAGUAGUUUUCAUUCGACCUUCACCAAACGUGGUCAGAAGAUGAUCUCUAGGCCAAGUUUAUAGAUGGAUCAUGCUGGGUCAAAAACUAGGUCAAGGUGUCACUUAGUGCGUUUGAAACAUUCAGCAUGGUUUCUGCUCAAUAUUUCAAGUAGUUUUCAUCCGAUCGUCACCAAACGUGGUCAGAAGUUGUCUCUAGAUGAUCUCUGGACCAAGUUGAAACAUGGGUCAUGCCGGGUCAAAAACUAGGUCACGGUGUCACUAAGUGCGUUUGAAACAUUCAGCAUGGUUUCUGCUCAAUAAUUCAAGUAGUUUUCGUCCGAUCUUCACCAAACGUGGUCAGAAGUUGUCUCUAGAUGAUCUCUAGACCAAGUUGAAACAUGGGUCAUGCCGGGUAAAAAACUAGGUCACGGUGUCACUUAAUGCGUUUGAAACAUUCAGCAUUGUUUCUGCUCAAUAAUUUAAGUACUUUGUAUCCGAUCUUCACCAAACAUGGUCAGAAGUUGUCUCUAGAUGAUCUCUAGGCCAAGUUGAAACAUGGGUCAUGCCGGGUCAAAAACUAGGUCACGGGGUCACUUAGUGCGUUUUAAACAUUCAGGUUAUGCUUUAAUGCAGUGACAAAGAUCCGUGUCGUGUAGACAUAUUUCUUGUUUUAUUAUUAUUUACAUUUUUUAUGCACACAUGCACAUGUAUGUAUGUAUGUUUUAAGAUUCUCACUAAAGUGAGACCAUUUUGGUGGAUUUGUCCAAACUUGUGUGUUGGGGGCAUGCAUGUUAAAUUGAUAAAUUAUUGGUUAUUUACUAGAUGACAAUAAAGGCUUGCUUUAAUGUGAGUGCAUACAGAAAAUCAUUAAAAAACAACAUUUUUUUCUGUUUAAGGAACAAAACAUGAGAUAUUAUCACAGCCAGUUUAUGGUCUUGUAAAAGCUUUUACAUUAAUUUUGUUUAUAUUGUGACAAUUUGUUCUUGUUUUGUAUAGUUUGUGUUUUUUAUCAAAGUCAAUAACUUAAGCACUCUUAAAGAUAUUAAAAUCAAAUUAGGAAUAGUUUGUCACCGUCAUUAAAAAUUAAUUGAUUUAAGUUUUAAUUCUUGACUAACAAAUGAUUCAGUUAUUCCCCUUACAAAAUGAAGAAAAAUAAAUCUCUAGUUUUUUCGAAGACACCGAUUUUUUAAGUUACGAAUUUUGUUGUUCCUAAUCUUCCUGAUGGCCAAGUCCCUUUUGGCUUUGCAUAUGUACGUUUUAAUUAUUGCUGUUUUCAGUCAACAAAGAAGUUCUCUGACAAACACCUAUCGUAGUGUGUCAAGUACAUGACUGCGCUCUGACCCUAUAAUUGUUUCAGAAUUAAUGUUAAGUUGGUUUAUGUUUGUACUUAAAUCUAAUUGGAUAAAAUUAGUUAUUUAGUUCAUGUUUAAGUAUGUGAUUCAGUCUGUGAUUUAUUGUUAUAAAAAAUAAAAAUCUUUAAAAA
Molecule: RNA transcript, 2657 nt
Organism: Dreissena polymorpha
Lineage: Eukaryota; Metazoa; Mollusca; Bivalvia; Myida; Dreissenidae
Gene name: G2/M phase-specific E3 ubiquitin-protein ligase-like
Exons: 5
Source: RefSeq, a predicted model, not a curated record